CAGCUAUAUCACGUUAAAACACCGGUUCGAGUAUGAUCAAUGUAGUUAAGCAACGUCGAGCCUGGUCAGUACCUAGAUGAGUGACCGUUUGGAAAUACCAAGUGCUGUAAG
Molecule: non-coding RNA, 111 nt
Organism: Acanthosepion pharaonis
Lineage: Eukaryota; Metazoa; Mollusca; Cephalopoda; Sepiida; Sepiidae
Source: the annotation of a GenBank genome assembly